Molecule: ribosomal RNA, 585 nt
Filed under: Cryptosporidium hominis
Lineage: Eukaryota; Apicomplexa; Conoidasida; Eucoccidiorida; Cryptosporidiidae
Description: SSU rRNA
Rfam family: Eukaryotic small subunit ribosomal RNA
Source: RNAcentral
CCUAUCAGCUUUAGACGGUAGGGUAUUGGCCUACCGUGGCAAUGACGGGUAACGGGGAAUUAGGGUUCGAUUCCGGAGAGGGAGCCUGAGAAACGGCUACCACAUCUAAGGAAGGCGGCAGGCGCGCAAAUUACCCAAUCCUAAUACAGGGAGGUAGUGACAAGAAAUAACAAUACAGGACUUUUUGGUUUUGUAAUUGGAAUGAGUUAAGUAUAAACCCCUUUACAAGUAUCAAUUGGAGGGCAAGUCUGGUGCCAGCAGCCGCGGUAAUUCCAGCUCCAAUAGCGUAUAUUAAAGUUGUUGCAGUUAAAAAGCUCGUAGUUGGAUUUCUGUUAAUAAUUUAUAUAAAAUAUUUUGAUGAAUAUUUAUAUAAUAUUAACAUAAUUCAUAUUACUAUUUUUUUUAGUAUAUGAAAUUUUACUUUGAGAAAAUUAGAGUGCUUAAAGCAGGCAUAUGCCUUGAAUACUCCAGCAUGGAAUAAUAUUAAAGAUUUUUAUCUUUUUUAUUGGUUCUAAGAUAAGAAUAAUGAUUAAUAGGGACAGUUGGGGGCAUUUGUAUUUAACAGUCAGAGGUGAAAUUCUUAGA